CCGAGUUUCAGAUAUCCACGCUCCACACAGAAAGGCCUCUUGCCCUUCAGACAGGGAUAACUUUACAUCAUCAUGCACUCAG
This 82-nucleotide small nucleolar RNA is filed under the name Cricetulus griseus (Chinese hamster). RNAcentral's name for it is "Small nucleolar RNA R38". The record is from RNAcentral. Lineage: Eukaryota; Metazoa; Chordata; Mammalia; Rodentia; Cricetidae.